RNAcentral lists this long non-coding RNA (404 nucleotides) under Oryza brachyantha (malo sina). Its description in RNAcentral is "long non-coding RNA (OBRA_LNC002217)". Lineage: Eukaryota; Viridiplantae; Streptophyta; Magnoliopsida; Poales; Poaceae. The record is from RNAcentral.
GUGGUCUGCCCGUGCCGCCUCCGCCCAGCCUCCUCCAUAGCCCUCGCCAGCGCCGCCGCCGCCUCCGGCGUGAGCGUCUGCUGUAUGGUACUAAGAUCCGCCCUCAUCUUGAUCUCCCCCAACUCAUCAAUCGAUCAAACCACCACCCCCCCAAAAUUCACACACACCCCCUGCCCUCCUCCAAUCCAAGAACCACCCGCAAAAGUGCAGGGUUGGAGCGGAGGCGGAGGCAACGAGACGAGGACGACGACGACGACUACCACCACUACUAGUACGCCACUCCACCACAAGGUAGAGAGAGAGAGGGGAGAGGGGAGGAGGAGGAGGAGGCGAAAUGCGAAUAGAAUCUUCGUCUCCGCGCAGCCUUGCGUUAACAUUGCCUUGCCCCCCCCUUUGGAAGAGUG